CCCCUUUAGUUACUUGUUUAACUUAAUUGUUUAUCUUUUGCUUCGGCUAUUGCACUUCAUAGUAGGGUUGCAAUUCACUCUAGAGAAUUUAGUAAGCCCUAAGAUUAAGUGUUUGUAUCUUUCAAGAAAAGAAAAAGGAAAAGUUAAAAUUUUGUCAGUCGCCUAUUAACCCCUCCCCCCCUCUAGUCGACCAUACCGAUCUUUCAGUUUUUAUAUGAUCUUGCCAUAAAACUAUGUUUUUUUGAUCUUUGUGUUGUAGUUCUCUAAUGGUAAUUUGUUAAUAUCUAUUGCACCUUACUUCACCCAUAUGGGCUAUAUAGGGGAUCACUAUGUUGCAAUCGAUUGAUGAGGAAGGGCCGAAAUGAGUAGAAAUUAUUUCCAAUGUUUUGUAUUUAUGGCACAUGGAGUAUUGGCCCUCCAAACUUAAUGAUCCUAACUAGUAAUGGGGUCAAGUUCAUCUAACAAGUAGCCCGUUAGUCAUGGUAUUGAGAUACGUUAAAGCUUAGACUUCACCCACGUAAGAGCAUGAAUCCAUUUAAUAAGAAAAGAUGUAUAAAACUUGUCAAUAUAUGAGUGGUCAAAGAAGAACACCGGGGAUUGGACUAUUUCAAAACAUAUAUUAUUUUGUAAACCUUUUAUUUUAUUUGCAACCUUUGAUUAAACAUCCUAUCAUGGAAAGUUUGUCUUGCAACAAUGAUAGUAAAUUCUAAGCUUAUGCGAAAAAUCCCUUCUUACUCCCAUCGUCGUCUUAUUCAUUGAUUGAAACAUAUAUAAUUAGUCCAGUGCACUUGUGGAUUUCAGGCACGCUCAUAUCACGCUUUUGGCCUUUGAGCUCUGUCUUUGUAGCUCAUUAGCUAUUGUCCUACUCCUUCCUCUUCUAUUUUCAUUGCUCUCCUUCCUCAAGCUUCUUCUCUCCCCUUGGUUGCCCUCCUCCCCCUUGCCCCACUAUUUCUCUUUUUUUUCACGGCUUGCAUCCUUGUUUGGAUUGAGUAUUAAGUGAUGAGUGAUCAUCAGUCUUUAAAGACGAGUGGUUCCUUGAAUAUUUGUUUUUUCAUUGAUUCCUAUAGGAUUUUUUUUUUCUAACGAUUCAAUUGCAUUAGAUUUCAUAGAAGAUUUCCAUAUGCUCCAAUUAUUUGGAAGAAACAUUUUGAUUUUCUCCAUGGGCAACUGAACAAACUUUGGUACAAAUACAAUAUAGUAGUAAUCAGGUGGACGUGAUAUCACAACCAUAGUUUUUUUUUCAUGUUAUUGUGUUUUGAAAUUGUGCGAAUUAAAGAGGUAUUUAUCAUUUUUCCUUGCCACACAAAGCUUCUAUAUUUCUGCUUUAUUUGGAGGAAUUUCUUCCUGCUGUUUUUUUCACUAUCCUCAUGUCGUUGAUGUUGUAAUCAUUUCCUAACUUUUUCUUUACCCAGAUUCACAAAAUCUAGCUUUGGUUCUUCAAAUAAAAUUCUCUCAUUUCAAACCUGCAAAAUUCAAUCUUCUCAACGAAACCUCAUGAAAAUCUACGAUCAAAUAAAGAACUACAAACAUAUAAACAAAACCGAGAAGGAUAAAAGGCAAUUUUUAAAAAUAAAUAGACGAAAACUUGAGACAACCAAACUCAAGUCAAAGAAAAUUCUCCAAACUCUCCGCUCAGCAAAGCAAAAACCAAAUUGCUCCUCUCCGGUCCACCAUUUCCCUUCCUUAUUCCAGCCUAGUUCCUCUUUCAUGUGUUUGAGUUUUUGGAAUUAUGCGAAUUAAAGAGGCAUUUGUCAUUUUUGCUUGCCACAAAGCUUCUAUAUUUCUACUUGAUUUAGAGGAAUUUCUGCCAGUAUCCUCAUGUCGUUGAUGCUGUAAUAAUUUCCUAGCUACUUUCUUGGAAUCACUAGUUUUGUUAUCCAAAUAAAAUUCUCCCAUUUCAAACCUGUAAAAUUCAAUCUUCUCAACGAUACCUCAGGGACUCUACGAUUAAAUGAAGCACUAAACAAAUAAACAAACUGAAGAUGAUAAAAGGCGUUUUGCAAAAAAUGCAUAGAUGAAAACUGAGACAACCAAAUUGAAGUCAAAGAAAAUUCUCCAAACUCUCCGCUCAGCAAAAACCAAAUUUCCCCUCUCCGGUCCACCCUUUUCCUUGCUUAUUCUAGCCUAGUCCAUCUUUCAUGUUUUUGUGUUUUUGGAAUUGUGCGAAUUAAAGAGGCAUUUAUCAUUUUUCCUUUCCACAAAGCUUUCUAUAUUUCUACUUGAUUUGGAGGAAUUUCUUCAUACUGUUUUCUGCAACUAUCCUCAUGCCGUCGAUGAUAUAAUCAUUUCCUAGCUUGUUCGUUCUCUUGAUUCACAAAUUCUAGUUUUGCUUAUCCAAAUAAAAUUCUCCCAUUUCAAACCUGUAAAAUUCAAUCUUCCCAACGAAACCUCAGCGAAAUCUACGAUAAAAUGAAGCACUAAAUAAGUAUAAACAAAAUCGGGAAGGAUAAAAGGCAAUUUUAAAAAAUAAAAAGAUGAAAAAUUGAGACAACCAAACUCAAGUCAAAGAAAAUUCUCCAAACUCUCCGCUCAGCAAAGCAAAAUCCAAAU
RNAcentral lists this long non-coding RNA (2550 nucleotides) under Brachypodium distachyon (stiff brome). RNAcentral's name for it is "long non-coding RNA (BDIS_LNC005107)". Lineage: Eukaryota; Viridiplantae; Streptophyta; Magnoliopsida; Poales; Poaceae. The record is from RNAcentral.